Molecule: ribosomal RNA, 301 nt
Filed under: uncultured bacterium
Lineage: Bacteria
Description: partial 16S ribosomal RNA
Rfam family: Bacterial small subunit ribosomal RNA
Source: RNAcentral
CAGUCGCCGCGGUAAUACAGAGGAUGCAAGCGUUAUCCGGAAUGAUUGGGCGUGAAGCGCGUCUAGGUGGUUAUGUAAGUCUGAUGUGAAAAUGCAGGGCUCAACUCUGUAUUGCGUUGGAAACUGUGUAACUAGAGUACUGGAGAGGUAAGCGGAACUACAAGUGUAGAGGUGAAAUUCGUAGAUAUUUGUAGGAAUGCCGAUGGGGAAGCCAGCUUACUGGACAGAUACUGACGCUGAAGCGCGAAAGCGUGGGUAGCAAACAGGAUUAGAUACCCCGGUAGUCCCUGUCUCUUAUACA